ACUGUAAUUGGCUUGUAAAGUACUGUAUGCAAAUAUUCUAUUGUAUAUAAAUAAAGGUAUAGAACCAAUAGAGAAAUUGUAGCGUAACUUUCCCAUCGACUUUGGCAAAGGUGCUGGAGCAGUUAAAGGCUCUGCUAACUGACGAGUAGGAGCGAAGCACAGCUUAGAGAGAGAGAGAGAGAGAGAGAGAGAGAGAGAGAGAGAGAGAGAGAGAGAGAGAGAGAGAGAGAGAGAGAGAGAGAGAGAGAGAGAGUGGGAUGAUAACAGUAGGAGCGAAGCACAGCUUAGAGAGAGAGAGAGAGAGAGAGAGAGAGAGAGAGAGAG
Oncorhynchus tshawytscha (Chinook salmon) is the source of this 324-nucleotide long non-coding RNA. RefSeq lists it as uncharacterized. Lineage: Eukaryota; Metazoa; Chordata; Actinopteri; Salmoniformes; Salmonidae. The transcript is spliced from 2 exons. The record is from RefSeq and is a predicted model, not a curated record.